RNAcentral lists this ribosomal RNA (484 nucleotides) under uncultured bacterium. RNAcentral describes it as "partial 16S ribosomal RNA". It matches the Rfam family "Bacterial small subunit ribosomal RNA", at positions 30 to 507 of the family's 1533-position model. The record is from RNAcentral.
AUUGAACGCUGGCGGCAGGCCUAACACAUGCAAGUCGAGCGGAUGAAGGGAGCUUGCUCCUGGAUUCAGCGGCGGACGGGUGAGUAAUGCCUAGGAAUCUGCCUGAUAGUGGGGGAUAACGUCCGGAAACGGGCGCUAAUACCGCAUACGUCCUGAGGGAGAAAGUGGGGGAUCUUCGGACCUCACGCUAUCAGAUGAGCCUAGGUCGGAUUAGCUAGUUGGUGGGGUAAAGGCCUACCAAGGCGACGAUCCGUAACUGGUCUGAGAGGAUGAUCAGUCACACUGGAACUGGGACACGGUCCAGACUCCUACGGGAGGCAGCAGUGGGGAAUAUUGGACAAUGGGCGAAAGCCUGAUCCAGCCAUGCCGCGUGUGUGAAGAAGGUCUUCGGAUUGUAAAGCACUUUAAGUUGGGAGGAAGGGCAGUAAGUUAAUACCUUGCUGUUUUGACGUUACCAACAGAAUAAGCACCGGCUAACUUCGUG